UUGUACAUGUUUGUUAAAGCCUUCCUGUAAUUGGAACAAUACAGAUUGCCAUGGCCUGUCAGCAAAGAUGACACACAAAUUAGUGAAGUCUUUCAUAUUUUU
Amblyraja radiata (thorny skate) is the source of this 102-nucleotide small nuclear RNA. NCBI's taxonomy places the organism in Eukaryota, Metazoa, Chordata, Chondrichthyes, Rajiformes, Rajidae. The record is from RefSeq and is a predicted model, not a curated record.